GAUGAACGCUGGCGGCGUGCCUAAUACAUGCAAGUCGAGCGAACGGACGAGAAGCUUUCUUCUCUGAUGUUAGCGGCGGACGGGUGAGUAACACGUGGAUAACCUACCUAUAAGACUGGGAUAACUUCGGGAAACCGGAGCUAAUACCGGAUAAUAUUUUGAACCGCAUGGUUCAAAAGUGAAAGACGGUCUUGCUGUCACUUAUAGAUGGAUCCGCGCUGCAUUAGCUAGUUGGUAAGGUAACGGCUUACCAAGGCAACGAUGCAUAGCCGACCUGAGAGGGUGAUCGGCCACACUGGAACUGAGACACGGUCCAGACUCCUACGGGAGGCAGCAGUAGGGAAUCUUCCGCAAUGGGCGAAAGCCUGACGGAGCAACGACGCGUGAGUGAUGAAGGUCUUCGGAUCGUAAAACUCUGUUAUUAGGGAAGAACAUAUGUGUAAGUAACUGUGCACAUCUUGACGGUACCUAAUCAGAAAGCAACGGCUAACUACGUG
RNAcentral lists this ribosomal RNA (497 nucleotides) under uncultured bacterium. RNAcentral's name for it is "partial 16S ribosomal RNA". It matches the Rfam family "Bacterial small subunit ribosomal RNA", at positions 28 to 507 of the family's 1533-position model. The record is from RNAcentral.